Long non-coding RNA from Triticum aestivum (bread wheat), 1192 nucleotides. RefSeq lists it as uncharacterized. The record is from RefSeq and is a predicted model, not a curated record. The transcript is spliced from 2 exons. Lineage: Eukaryota; Viridiplantae; Streptophyta; Magnoliopsida; Poales; Poaceae.
CCCCUCUUCCUCACCCGACGCCACCGACCACUCGCUCCCCACUCGCCCCCGACCUCUCUCUCUCUCGCACGACGCCCCCGCUCGCCUCUCUCUCUCUCUUGCGCGACGCCGGCCACCAGUCGCCUCUCUCUCGCGCGCGCGGCGCCACACUCUCCCCGUUGAUGCGCCCUCUCUCUCCCUCUCGCCGGCAUCUUGCUCCGCACCGCCGCUCACCGCUCCCCACCACCCUGGUUCACACAAAGCUGCCAUUUUUAUUCGCCGGCGAUGCGCUUCUGGGCGAGGAGGAGCUGGAUCCACAUGCGCUGGUCCUCGAUCUGCUUGUGGAUAGGCGAGAGGAGUCGCUGAAGUGGAGCCCGAGCGGCGCCGGCGCGGGCAUGAAGACGACGGCGGGAGGAGGUGGAGCCCGAGCGGGAGGACCUGGAGCCGCAUCUCAAGUAUUGAAGCUACCCCGGCGACGCAACGACGCUUGAUGUGGAGCGGCGCUUGAGCAGCGGUCGGUGGUCAUAUCCACGGCGACGGCGCCGCCGCCAAAGUUCGUUUCCAGCGACAGCAAAGAGAUGUACUCCAUCAGAGGAUCAAAUGAUCAGAGAGAGGAGAUGAACCUAGGCACCAGCCGAACCCAGCAGCAGCUCCUGGACGUGGGAGAGGAGGAGCGCCUGCGCCUGGAUGCAGUGGCCGGAGGUGGGUACGGAGGUGGAGAUGGAGGAACAGCCUGUGCUCGCCUCCACCUGGGCGCGGGUCAGGAGGAGCCCCUGUGUGUGGGCGGCAGCAGAGCACCAGCUCUACUCCAGCGGCGGCAGCGCCUGGGCAGGGGGCGGAGGUGGAGAUGGAGGGCGGAGGUGGAGAUGGAGGUGGAGGGCGGAGGUGAGGGUGGAGGUGGAGAUGGAGGUGGAGGGCGGGAGCGUAGGUGGAGGUGGAGGGCGGAGGCGGAGGUGGAAGACGAUCGAUCGGGAUUCAAAUUUUGAAGGGAGGGUAUUCAGGUCAAUUGUCAGCUUUUCACCUGGUUGGAACAGAAGCCCCAGCGACCUAUAUUUUGGUACGGAGGGAGUACAACAAAAAUGUUCUAGAUGAAAUGGAUUCAAAUUUCUUGGUAAAGGAGUGCAAAGUACUGGAGAAAAAUUCAAAACAAAUUGAACAGAGCAAAGUUGGCGCCCCUCCACUUCUAUAAGAUUAUUCUUUUUAUUGCCUAAAA